GGGGAUAUAGCUCAAAUGGCAGAGUGCUUGCCUCACAUGCAUAAGGCCCUGGGUUCAAUCCCCAGCACCACCA
RNAcentral lists this transfer RNA (73 nucleotides) under Ictidomys tridecemlineatus (thirteen-lined ground squirrel). RNAcentral's name for it is "Spermophilus tridecemlineatus (thirteen-lined ground squirrel) tRNA". It matches the Rfam family "tRNA". From Rfam's summary of the family: Transfer RNA (tRNA) molecules are approximately 80 nucleotides in length. Lineage: Eukaryota; Metazoa; Chordata; Mammalia; Rodentia; Sciuridae. The record is from Rfam by way of RNAcentral.